Pelobates cultripes (western spadefoot toad) is the source of this 123-nucleotide non-coding RNA. The record is from the annotation of a GenBank genome assembly. Lineage: Eukaryota; Metazoa; Chordata; Amphibia; Anura; Pelobatidae.
AGCACACACAGCAGUGUGUGUGUGUGUGUGUGUGUAUAUAUAUGUAUACAUAUAUAUAUAUAUAUAUAUAUAUAUAUAUACAUAUAUAGAUACAUACACACACACACACACGGCGUGUGUUUG